Non-coding RNA from Paramuricea clavata, 868 nucleotides. The record is from the annotation of a GenBank genome assembly. Lineage: Eukaryota; Metazoa; Cnidaria; Anthozoa; Malacalcyonacea; Plexauridae.
GCUCUCUUUUAAAAUCCACAUAUAUUUUUAUAAUCAUUUUGUGAACUAAAAUGCAUUAUUCAGAACAGAUUUGUUUUCACAACCAACAUUUUUUUUAUUUCUUGUAUUAAUCCAUUAACACUCCCAUUGCCUUGGAGUUACUGGGUUAAAGCAAACCUGCGCAUAUUUUCAUAAUGCAAAACUACUGAACCCUGAAUGGUUUAUUUCCGAGUGUGAAUUUAAUGUUGCUGUUAACUUGUUUUGUAGUAACAGUUUGCAGCAUAAUUUUUGUCCUAGUCGAGUAACAUUUUCUUGUUUUUGGUACGGUAUUUACAAUUAUCCUCAAUGCACGCAGCCAGACAAUGCAAAAAUGGCCUAAUAUACUUUAAUGUUAUAAUAUUCAAUCAAGACAUGAGAUUGGGCCAUUCCAGAAAACAUCCAUACCCCCCCCCCCAUUCAGAUGUCUUCAUUUUCAUUCAAUUACUGUUAGAAGAAACCAUUUUUUCUCCGGACAGCAGAAAUUUCCUCUCUGGCAGGAGUGUGGAUUUUUUUUAGAAUGAUCGAUUGAGGCAUGAAUGCCACUAUUGAAUAUAGGCAGUCAUGUAUUGAAAUUUAGUCAUAAUAGUGAUUUUAUGUAAAUUUGAAUCUUCAGUGCUAGGAACAAAUAUACUUCAAUUAUUUUUAAUAUCAAAAAAUACCUUUUUAGUUUACAUCAUCAACAAUAAUAUAACAGAUGAAUAUUUAAAUUAACAACUUUAAUAAUUUUCAAGACUUGUAAACAAUUAUGAAAUAAAGAGAUAAAUUUGCAAAUUGCAGUUUAAUUUUAUUUAAAUGGUAUUUUUCACCAAAUUGAAACUAUAAUUGAAAUGCAACUAUAUCACAUGUAUAU